This 540-nucleotide ribosomal RNA is filed under the name uncultured archaeon. Its description in RNAcentral is "bacterial SSU rRNA". It matches the Rfam family "Archaeal small subunit ribosomal RNA", at positions 457 to 997 of the family's 1478-position model. The record is from RNAcentral.
GGCAGCAGCCGCGGUAACACCGGCGGCCCGAGUGGUGAUCGUGAUUAUGGGUCUAAAGGGUCCGUAGCCGGUUGGUCAGUCCUCCGGGAAAUCUGAUAGCUCAACUAUUAGGCUUUCGGGGGAUACUGCCAGACUUGGAACCGGGAGAGGUAAGAGGUACUACAGGGGUAGGAGUGAAAUCUUGUAAUCCCUGUGGGACCACCUGUGGCGAAGGCGUCCUACCAGAACGGGUUCGACGGUGAGGGACGAAAGCUGGGGGCACGAACCGGAUUAGAUACCCGGGUAGUCCCAGCCGUAAACGAUGCUCGCUAGGUGUCAGGCAUGGCGCGACCGUGUCUGGUGCCGCAGGGAAGCCGUGAAGCGAGCCACCUGGGAAGUACGGCCGCAAGGCUGAAACUUAAAGGAAUUGGCGGGGGAGCACAACAACGGGUGGAAGCCUGCGGUUUAAUUGGACUCAACGCCGGACAACUCACCGGGGGCGACAGCAAUAUGUAGGCCAAGCUGAAGACUUUGCCUGAAUCGCUGAGAAGUGGUGCAUGG